This is a long non-coding RNA of Ricinus communis (castor bean), 819 nucleotides long. RefSeq lists it as uncharacterized. Lineage: Eukaryota; Viridiplantae; Streptophyta; Magnoliopsida; Malpighiales; Euphorbiaceae. The record is from RefSeq and is a predicted model, not a curated record. The transcript has 2 exons.
UAUAAUGAGCAAUGUAGAUUUAUUAUUACUUAUUUGUUUAUAUGAACAGGCGACUUUUUUAUUGUGCGUUUUUGUUUGGAUUAGUGUUUUUCUUUUUUUCCAAAAAAUUAAAUAAAAAUUGUAUGAAAUGUGAGAUUGAGUGCAUGGAGGGUGGGAUGGUGGGUUGGGUGACAGGUGGAGCCAACAAAUUGGGAGCCAAUAAAAACCUUUCUGAAAAUAGUGUGUACACUUGGUUUUGGCAUUUUGGUUCUUGUUGACUUUAAUUUGGUAACUGUAUGGCAGCUGUGUUUUAUUAAUUAAAAUAAAUCAUUUUGCCUCUAUUUUAAUUCAUAAGAAAAAAAAGAGAAAUUGAAUUCAAUUUGCAUACUUCUACGUGCAAAUAUGCAGUAGCAGAGCACAGGUUUUGUAAUUAUUGUGAUCCCAAUAGCAAAAAUGAAUUCAAUUCAAAAAAAGAAAAUUAGGGUGAGAAAAAUUGAAAGCUGGGGGGUUGUUGGAUUUCAAAUUAGACGUAGGGGCAAGGGUACAUGGAAAGCAACAGCAGGGAAAAGCAAGAAGGAAUUCAUAAAUAAAGAUUGACAAAACAUGGGUCCACCACAUUGAGUUGGGGGAUGGAGUCCAUACUCAUGGUAAUGGGACAAAAGGCAAAGGGAGGGAGGGAGGGAGUCAGUCAGGCAAAGGCAUCUCUAUGCUCUAAUUUCAUGCAUUGUAAUUUACAGUUUUAAUUCUAAAUCUUUAGUGGAUUAUGAUUAUUUGUUAUAAGAGAUUGAUUCCAUCUCUCAAUCAAACACAGGGUUAGUUUUUUUUUUCUUUUUUUUCUUU